RNAcentral lists this ribosomal RNA (468 nucleotides) under uncultured bacterium. Its description in RNAcentral is "partial 16S ribosomal RNA". It matches the Rfam family "Bacterial small subunit ribosomal RNA", at positions 28 to 507 of the family's 1533-position model. The record is from RNAcentral.
GACGAGCGCCGGCGGCGUGCUUAACACAUGCAAGUCGAACGGAAAGGCCCUGCUUUUGUGGGGUGCUCGAGUGGCGAACGGGUGAGUAACACGUGAGUAACCUGCCCUUGACUUUGGGAUAACUUCAGGAAACUGGGGCUAAUACCGGAUAGGAGCUCCUGCUGCAUGGUGGGGGUUGGAAAGUUUCGGCGGUUGGGGAUGGACUCGCGGCUUAUCAGCUUGUUGGUGGGGUAGUGGCUUACCAAGGCUUUGACGGGUAGCCGGCCUGAGAGGGUGACCGGCCACAUUGGGACUGAGAUACGGCCCAGACUCCUACGGGAGGCAGCAGUGGGGAAUAUUGCACAAUGGGCGGAAGCCUGAUGCAGCAACGCCGCGUGCGGGAUGACGGCCUUCGGGUUGUAAACCGCUUUCGCCUGUGACGAAGCGUGAGUGACGGUAAUGGGUAAAGAAGCACCGGCUAACUACGUG